Molecule: non-coding RNA, 81 nt
Organism: Eptesicus fuscus (big brown bat)
Lineage: Eukaryota; Metazoa; Chordata; Mammalia; Chiroptera; Vespertilionidae
Source: RefSeq, marked provisional
GCACUGACUGCCAAGGGGACUGUGAUCAGGCCGGGAGAGAAAAGCAGGAUCUGAUCGCAGCCCCUGUGGCAGUCAGUGCUG